GUAUAAGAGACAGCAGCAGCCGCGGUAAUACAGAGGGUGCGAGCGUUAAUCGGAUUUACUGGGCGUAAAGCGUGCGUAGGCGGCUAAUUGAGUCGGAUGUGAAAUCCCCGAGCUUAACUUGGGAAUUGCAUUCGAUACUGGUUAGCUAGAGUGUGGGAGAGGAUGGUAGAAUUCCAGGUGUAGCGGUGAAAUGCGUAGAGAUCUGGAGGAAUACCGAUGGCGAAGGCAGCCAUCUGGCCUAACACUGACGCUGAGGUACGAAAGCAUGGGGAGCAAACAGGAUUAGAUACCCGUGUAGUCCCUGUCUCUUAUAC
This 314-nucleotide ribosomal RNA is filed under the name uncultured bacterium. RNAcentral describes it as "partial 16S ribosomal RNA". It matches the Rfam family "Bacterial small subunit ribosomal RNA", at positions 495 to 807 of the family's 1533-position model. The record is from RNAcentral.